CAGAUUAUGACAGGUUAGGAAAGGUUUUAAGACAGUAUGCUGGGUUACGACAGAUUAUGACAGGUUAGGAAAGGUUUUAUGACAGUUUGCUGGGUUAUGACAUAUUUAGACAGGUUAGGAAAGGUUUUAAGACAAUUAUGACAGGUUAGGACAGGUUUUAUGACGGUAUGCUGGGUUAUGACAGAUUAUGACAGGUUAGGACAGGUUUUAUGACAGCAUGCUAGGUUAUGACAUGUUACGCAAGGUUUUAGUAUGCCAAGUCAUAACAAGUUAGGCAGGGUUUAUGAUGUCAUUUUAUCCUCAGUUAUGACAGUUUAGGCAAGGUUCAAUGACAUAGUAUGUUGGUUAUGAAGCAUUAUGACAUGUUAGAUGAUGUUUAUGACAUUAUACAGUAUGCCAGGUUAUUCUAGAUUAGGCAAGAUUUAUGACACAGUAUGACUGUUUAGACAAGGUACAAUACAUAGAUUAUGAUAGAUCGAUAAUGAUUUAUGCCCGUUUCCUUCUAGUUUAUUUCAGUCAUGACACAUUAGCAUUCAGUUGCUAGUCCACACAGGAAUCUGCCACAACUGACUUAACCUUUUGCUUCCCGAAAUCACGAGUCCUGCUCUUUGAAUACAGAUCAGUACGUCAACUCGAAUCACAAAAUCAGAAUCAAAGAAUCAGACAAAAGCAACCCAUGGAACCCACUUGAACUCAACGCUAAGGUGUUUUCUAACAGCAAGACCGAGAUUUGAAUUCAGGAUGAACAAAAACUGCACCAUCACUCUCCUCUCACCCCGUGAUCAACAUUCGAAACAUGAAAAAGGAUCCGAGUCGCUCUAAUCUCCGUCCGCGCCAGAAAUAAAGCCGACAAAAAUGCAAACCGAGACUCGUUCUGCGAUCUAAAUUGAGCAUUAUAUAACCACAGAGCUAAACG
Long non-coding RNA from Ictalurus punctatus (channel catfish), 916 nucleotides. Lineage: Eukaryota; Metazoa; Chordata; Actinopteri; Siluriformes; Ictaluridae. The record is from Ensembl.